This 254-nucleotide ribosomal RNA is filed under the name uncultured bacterium. RNAcentral's name for it is "partial 16S ribosomal RNA". It matches the Rfam family "Bacterial small subunit ribosomal RNA", at positions 524 to 776 of the family's 1533-position model. The record is from RNAcentral.
CACGUAGGGGGCAAGCGUUGUCCGGAUUUAUUGGGCGUAAAGAGCUCGUAGGCGGUUUCGUAAGUCGGAUGUGAAAACUCCAGGCUCAACUUGGAGACGCCAUUCGAUACUGCGAUGACUUGAGUCCGGAAGAGGCGAGUGGAAUUCCUGGUGUAGCGGUGAAAUGCGCAGAUAUCAGGAGGAACACCAAUGGCGAAGGCAGCUCGCUGGGACGGUACUGACGCUGAGACGCGAAAGCGUGGGGAGCAAACAGG